GCUAUACACGCAGUCGAGCGAUGAUUAAAGAUAGCUUGCUAUUUUUAUGAAGAGCGGCGAACGGGUGAGUAACGCGUGGGAAAUCUGCCGAGUAGCGGGGGACGACGUUUGGAAACGAACGCUAAUACCGCAUAACAAUGAGAAUCGCAUGAUUCUUAUUUGAAAGAAGCAAUUGCUUCACUACUUGAUGAUCCCGCGUUGUAUUAGCUAGUUGGUAGUGUAAAGGACUACCAAGGCGAUGAUACAUAGCCGACCUGAGAGGGUGAUCGGCCACACUGGGACUGAGACACGGCCCAGACUCCUACGGGAGGCAGCAGUAGGGAAUCUUCGGCAAUGGGGGCAACCCUGACCGAGCAACGCCGCGUGAGUGAAGAAGGUUUUCGGAUCGUAAAACUCUGUUGUUAGAGAAGAACGUUAAGUAGAGUGGAAAAUUACUUAAGUGACGGUAUCUAACCAGAAAGGGACGGCUAACUACGUGCCAGCAGCCGCGGUAAUACGUAGGUCCCAAGCGUUGUCCGGAUUUAUUGGGCGUAAAGCGAGCGCAGGUGGUUUCUUAAGUCUGAUGUAAAAGGCAGUGGCUCAACCAUUGUGUGCAUUGGAAACUGGGAGACUUGAGUGCAGGAGAGGAGAGUGGAAUUCCAUGUGUAGCGGUGAAAUGCGUAGAUAUAUGGAGGAACACCGGACGCGAAAGCGGCUCUCUGGCCUGUAACUGACACUGACGCUCGAAAGCGUGGGGAGCAAACAGGAUUAGAUACCCUGUAGUCCACGCCGUAAACGAUGAGUGCUAGCUGUAGGAGCUAUAAGUUCUCUGUAGCGCAGCUAACGCAUUAAGCACUCCGCCUGGGGAGUACGACCGCAAGG
RNAcentral lists this ribosomal RNA (861 nucleotides) under uncultured bacterium. RNAcentral describes it as "bacterial SSU rRNA". It matches the Rfam family "Bacterial small subunit ribosomal RNA", at positions 48 to 893 of the family's 1533-position model. The record is from RNAcentral.